AAUAGAUACCCUGGUAGUCCACGCCGUAAACGAUGUCGACUUGGAGGUUGUGCCCUUGAGGCGUGGCUUCCGGAGCUAACGCGUUAAGUCGACCGCCUGGGGAGUACGGCCGCAAGGUUAAAACUCAAAUGAAUUGACGGGGGCCCGCACAAGCGGUGGAGCAUGUGGUUUAAUUCGAUGCAACGCGAAGAACCUUACCUACUCUUGACAUCCAGAGAACUUAGCAGAGAUGCUUUGGUGCCUUCGGGAACUCUGAGACAGGUGCUGCAUGGCUGUCGUCAGCUCGUGUUGUGAAAUGUUGGGUUAAGUCCCGCAACGAGCGCAACCCUUAUCCUUUGUUGCCAGCGGUUCCGGCCGGGAACUCAAAGGAGACUGCCAGUGAUAAACUGGAGGAAGGUGGGGAUGACGUCAAGUCAUCAUGGCCCUUACGAGUAGGGCUACACACGUGUUACAAUGGCAUAUACAAAGAGAAGCGACCUCGCGAGAGCAAGCGGACCUCAUAAAAGUAUGUCGUAGUCCGGAUUGGAGU
RNAcentral lists this ribosomal RNA (529 nucleotides) under uncultured bacterium. Its description in RNAcentral is "bacterial SSU rRNA". It matches the Rfam family "Bacterial small subunit ribosomal RNA", at positions 777 to 1304 of the family's 1533-position model. The record is from RNAcentral.